UACGAAGGGGGCUAGCGUUGCUCGGAAUCACUGGGCUUAAAGGGCGCGUAGGCGGGCUGCCAAGUCUGGGGUGAAAUCCCACGGCUCAACCGUGGAACUGCCUCGGAUACUGGCGGCCUCGAGGGAGGUAGGGGCGUGCGGAACUGUGGGUGGAGCGGUGAAAUGCGUUGAUAUCCACAGGAACUCCGGUGGCGAAGGCGGCCCCCCUGGUUGGAUACUGACGCUGAUACGCGAAAGCGUGGGGAGCAAACAGG
This 254-nucleotide ribosomal RNA is filed under the name uncultured bacterium. RNAcentral's name for it is "partial 16S ribosomal RNA". It matches the Rfam family "Bacterial small subunit ribosomal RNA", at positions 524 to 776 of the family's 1533-position model. The record is from RNAcentral.